GUAGGCGGCAAGCGUUGUCCGGAAUUAUUGGGCGUAAAGCGCGCGCAGGCGGUCCUUUAAGUCUGAUGUGAAAGCCCACGGCUCAACCGUGGAGGGUCAUUGGAAACUGGGGGACUUGAGUACAGAAGAGGAAAGCGGAAUCCCAAGUGUAGCGGUGAAAUGCGUAGAGAUUUGGAGGAACACCAGUGGCGAAGGCGGCUUUCUGGUCUGUAACUGACGCUGAGGCGCGAAAGCGUGGGGAGCAAACAGGAUUAGAUACCCUGGUAGUCCACGCCGUAAACGAUGAGUGCUAAGUGUUAGGGGGUUUCCCGCCCCCCUUAGUGCUGCAGCUAACGCAUUAAGCACUCCGCCUGGGGAGUACGGCCGCAAGGCUG
Molecule: ribosomal RNA, 374 nt
Filed under: uncultured organism
Description: partial 16S ribosomal RNA
Rfam family: Bacterial small subunit ribosomal RNA
Source: RNAcentral